RNAcentral lists this long non-coding RNA (441 nucleotides) under Daucus carota (carrot). Its description in RNAcentral is "long non-coding RNA (DCAR_LNC007166)". The record is from RNAcentral. Lineage: Eukaryota; Viridiplantae; Streptophyta; Magnoliopsida; Apiales; Apiaceae.
UGUGUGCAAGCAUGCUCUUUUAUUGAGACAAGACAAAAACUACUACUCCCACAGAAUCCCAAUCAAGAAUCGUAAAAGUUUAAAACUAACACCCCGUCACUCAAGUCCAACUAAAAGCCAAGGUCCCAAAGAAUGUCCACACCCUUCUAUUUUAUUCACUAUAUUUUUUUUUUCUUUUUAUUGGUGAUUAAUUGCUCGGUCUAAGGUCAGAGCGCUUCGCAGUGUAAAUGCGUUACGAACACCACAAGACUUCACACACCAAUUAUUCACUCUAUUCUAGUGGUUUAUUUAACCGUGCAAUGGUUGAGAUCCCUAAAGAUUUAUGCACUAGUACCCAUGUAGCGAGCGUUGGGUCAACAAUCCCAAACCACGAAGGGCUUUAGGUUGUUAGGCACAAAGUCCCCUCAGACUUAAUUACUCGAGUACUAAUGAGCUCAACCU